Molecule: small RNA, 403 nt
Filed under: Arabidopsis thaliana (thale cress)
Lineage: Eukaryota; Viridiplantae; Streptophyta; Magnoliopsida; Brassicales; Brassicaceae
Description: ATSL147610
Source: RNAcentral
AUUUUAUCCUUAGUUUUAAUCAAUAACGAAACAUUCGGUUUUAACCAAACCAAAUAAUUUAUAGCUUACAGUUUUUCCCCACAAGGCCACAACCAAGUAAAACCAUGAUUCCCUAAGAGCAUCUACAUUGCACAACAUAAGGAAAUGUCUUUAAUUACAAAUAAAAUAAAAGAAAAAAUAAGAACCAAUGACAUUGUGCCACAUAAGUUAAGAUGUCUCAAAACAAAUGUCUUUGAUGUCUCCCAAGAGACACAAUUCUCUUUUCUGCAUUAAUUUAAAGACAUUUACCUUUUUAUUUUAUUCAUUAAAAUCUAAAGACACUCACAAUUUGUUAUGCAAUAGAGGUGGCAUAAGGCUUUAUGGGUUAUGUUAUGUAUUCUUAUUGUAUUUUUGUUAUAUUUUU